UACGAAGGGUGCUAGCGUUGUUCGGAAUCACUGGGCGUAAAGCGCGCGUAGGCGGCUUAUCAAGUCAGAGGUGAAAUCCCCAGGCUCAACCUGGGAAUUGCCUUUGAAACUGCUAGGCUAGAGUGUCGGAGGGGAUGGCGGAAUUGCUAAUGUAGAGGUGAAAUUCGUAGAUAUUAGCAGGAACACCGGUGGCGAAGGCGGCCAUCUGGACGACAACUGACGCUGAGGCGCGAAAGCGUGGGGAUCAAACAGG
This 253-nucleotide ribosomal RNA is filed under the name uncultured bacterium. RNAcentral's name for it is "partial 16S ribosomal RNA". It matches the Rfam family "Bacterial small subunit ribosomal RNA", at positions 524 to 776 of the family's 1533-position model. The record is from RNAcentral.